This 269-nucleotide ribosomal RNA is filed under the name Brevibacillus parabrevis. RNAcentral's name for it is "partial 23S ribosomal RNA". It matches the Rfam family "Bacterial large subunit ribosomal RNA", at positions 1252 to 1519 of the family's 2925-position model. Lineage: Bacteria; Bacillati; Bacillota; Bacilli; Caryophanales; Paenibacillaceae. The record is from RNAcentral.
GAAGCCGUACUGGAAAGAGCGGUGGAGCGCUUGGAAGUGAGAAUGCCGGUGUAAGUAGCGAAAAGACAAGUGAGAAUCUUGUCCACCGAAAGCCUAAGGUUUCCUGGGGAAGGCUCGUCCUCCCAGGGUUAGUCGGGACCUAAGCUGAGGCCGAAAGGCGUAGGCGAUGGACAACAGGUUGAUAUUCCUGUACCACCUCUGUUCCGCUUGAGCAAUGGCGUGACGCAGGAGGAUAGGGUGAGCGGCCUACUGGAUGGCCGUCCAAGCAG